RNAcentral lists this ribosomal RNA (506 nucleotides) under uncultured bacterium. Its description in RNAcentral is "partial 16S ribosomal RNA". It matches the Rfam family "Bacterial small subunit ribosomal RNA", at positions 29 to 523 of the family's 1533-position model. The record is from RNAcentral.
AGUGAACGCUGGCAGUAGGCCUAACACAUGCAAGUCGAACGGCAGCACAGGAGAGCUUGCUCUCUGGGUGGCGAGUGGCGGACGGGUGAGGAAUACAUCGGAAUCUACUUUGUCGUGGGGGAUAACGCAGGGAAACUUGCGCUAAUACCGCAUACGACCUACGGGUGAAAGCAGGGGAUCUUCGGACCUUGCGCGAUUGAAUGAGCCGAUGUCGGAUUAGCUAGUUGGCGGGGUAAAGGCCCACCAAGGCGACGAUCCGUAGCUGGUCUGAGCGGAUGACCAGCCAAACUGGAACUGAGACACGGUCCAGACUCCUACGGGAGGCAGCAGUGGGGAAUAUUGGACAAUGGGCGCAAGCCUGAUCCAGCCAUACCGCGUGGGUGAAGAAGGCCUUCGGGUUGUAAAGCCCUUUUGUUGGGAAAGAAAAGCAGCCGGUUAAUACCCGGUUGUUCUGACGGUACCCAAAGAAUAAGCACCGGCUAACUUCGUGCCAGCCGCCGCAGUAA